ACAAGGUUUCCGUAGGUGAACCUGCGGAAGGAUCAUUACCGAGUGAGGGCCCUCUGGGUCCAACCUCCCACCCGUGUUUAUCGUACCUUGUUGCUUCGGCGGGCCCGCUUCACGGCCGCCGGGGGGCACCUGCCCCCGGGCCCGCGCCCGCCGAAGACAUCAUUGAACUCUGUCUGAAGAUUGCAGUCUGAGUAGAUUAGCUAAAUCAGUUAAAACUUUCAACAACGGAUCUCUUGGUUCCGGCAUCGAUGAAGAACGCAGCGAAAUGCGAUAAGUAAUGUGAAUUGCAGAAUUCAGUGAAUCAUCGAGUCUUUGAACGCACAUUGCGCCCCCUGGUAUUCCGGGGGGCAUGCCUGUCCGAGCGUCAUUGCUGCCCUCAAGCACGGCUUGUGUGUUGGGCCUCCGCCCCCCGGUUCCGGGGGGCGGGCCCGAAAGGCAGCGGCGGCACCGCGUCCGGUCCUCGAGCGUAUGGGGCUUCGUCACCCGCUCUGUAGGCCCGGCCGGCGCCCGCCGGCGACCCCAAUCAAUCUUUCCAGGUUGACCUCGGAUCAGGUAGGGAUACCCGCUGAACUUAAGCAU
This 579-nucleotide ribosomal RNA is filed under the name Penicillium sp. 2 B167. Its description in RNAcentral is "eukaryotic LSU rRNA". The stretch from base 214 to 367 matches the Rfam family "5.8S ribosomal RNA". The record is from RNAcentral. Lineage: Eukaryota; Fungi; Ascomycota; Eurotiomycetes; Eurotiales; Aspergillaceae.